This 714-nucleotide ribosomal RNA is filed under the name Halomonas sp. H17.3. RNAcentral describes it as "bacterial SSU rRNA". It matches the Rfam family "Bacterial small subunit ribosomal RNA", at positions 35 to 739 of the family's 1533-position model. Lineage: Bacteria; Pseudomonadati; Pseudomonadota; Gammaproteobacteria; Oceanospirillales; Halomonadaceae. The record is from RNAcentral.
GCUGGCGGCAGGCCUAACACAUGCAAGUCGAGCGGAAACGAUGGAAGCUUGCUUCCAGGCGUCGAGCGGCGGACGGGUGAGUAAUGCAUAGGAAUCUGCCCGGUAGUGGGGGAUAACUUGGGGAAACCCAAGCUAAUACCGCAUACGCCCUACGGGGGAAAGCAGGGGAUCUUCGGACCUUGCGCUAUCGGAUGAGCCUAUGUCGGAUUAGCUAGUUGGUGAGGUAAUGGCUCACCAAGGCCGCGAUCCGUAGCUGGUCUGAGAGGAUGAUCAGCCACAUCGGGACUGAGACACGGCCCGAACUCCUACGGGAGGCAGCAGUGGGGAAUAUUGGACAAUGGGCGAAAGCCUGAUCCAGCCAUGCCGCGUGUGUGAAGAAGGCCCUCGGGUUGUAAAGCACUUUCAGUGAGGAAGAACGCUUGUGGGUUAAUACCCUGCAAGGAAGACAUCACUCACAGAAGAAGCACCGGCUAACUCCGUGCCAGCAGCCGCGGUAAUACGGAGGGUGCGAGCGUUAAUCGGAAUUACUGGGCGUAAAGCGCGCGUAGGCGGCUUGAUAAGCCGGUUGUGAAAGCCCCGGGCUCAACCUGGGAACGGCAUCCGGAACUGUCAGGCUAGAGUGCAGGAGAGGAAGGUAGAAUUCCCGGUGUAGCGGUGAAAUGCGUAGAGAUCGGGAGGAAUACCAGUGGGCGAAGGCGGCCUUCUGGACUGACA